This 253-nucleotide ribosomal RNA is filed under the name uncultured bacterium. Its description in RNAcentral is "partial 16S ribosomal RNA". It matches the Rfam family "Bacterial small subunit ribosomal RNA", at positions 524 to 776 of the family's 1533-position model. The record is from RNAcentral.
UACGUAGGUGGCAAGCGUUGUCCGGAUUUAUUGGGGUUAAAGGGUGCGUAGGUGGUCUAUUAAGUCAGUGCUGAAAUAUCCCGGCUUAACCGGGAGGGUGGCAUUGAUACUGAUGGACUUGAGUAAAGUUGAGGUAGGCGGAAUUGACGGUGUAGCGGUGAAAUGCUUAGAUAUCGUCAAGAACACCGAUAGUGAAGACAGCUUACUAGACUUCAACUGACGCUGAGGCACGAAAGUGUGGGGAUCAAACAGG